Molecule: ribosomal RNA, 372 nt
Filed under: uncultured organism
Description: bacterial SSU rRNA
Rfam family: Bacterial small subunit ribosomal RNA
Source: RNAcentral
CAGAGGGGGCAAGCGUUGUUCGGAAUUACUGGGCGUAAAGGGCGCGUAGGCGGCCAGCUAAGUCGAACGUGAAAUCCCCGGGCUCAACCCGGGAACUGCGUCCGAUACUGGUAGGCUUGAAUUCGGGAGAGGGAUGCGGAAUUCCAGGUGUAGCGGUGAAAUGCGUAGAUAUCUGGAGGAACACCGGUGGCGAAGGCGGCAUCCUGGACCGAUAUUGACGCUGAGGCGCGAAAGCCAGGGGAGCAAACGGGAUUAGAUACCCCGGUAGUCCUGGCCCUAAACGAUGAAUGCUUGGUGUGGCGGGUAUCGAUCCCUGCCGUGCCGAAGCUAACGCAUUAAGCAUUCCGCCUGGGGAGUACGGUCGCAAGGCUG